RNAcentral lists this ribosomal RNA (392 nucleotides) under Asterionellopsis glacialis. RNAcentral describes it as "partial Eukaryotic large subunit ribosomal RNA". It matches the Rfam family "Eukaryotic large subunit ribosomal RNA", at positions 344 to 743 of the family's 3401-position model. Lineage: Eukaryota; Bacillariophyta; Plagiogrammaphyceae; Rhaphoneidales; Asterionellopsidaceae. The record is from RNAcentral.
ACAAGUAACGUGAGGGAAAGAUGCAAAGAACUUUGAAAAGAGAGUUAAAGAGUACCUGAAAUUGCUGAAAGGGAAGCGAAGGAAACCAGUGUCGUGCCUGGCCAUAUUUCUCCUGCUGCUUGCGGUAGGGGCGCUGUGGCCUGGCGUGGGCCAGCAUCGGUUUGCACCUCGGGGCAAACGGUGGUUCGGGAGGUAGUUGCCGCUUCGGCGUCAAUGUUUAACCGUUCCAUCUCGUCCUGGGGGAGACCGAGGACAGUCUAGCAAUAGCUCGUGAUGCUGGCGAAAUGGUUUUCUUUACCCCGUCUUGAAACACGGACCAAGGAGUUUAACACAUGUGCGAGUACAGGGGUGGCAAACCCCCGGGCGCAAUGAAAGUGACAGUGGUUGGACCU